CGGUGCUGGAGCUGAGUCAGAGGAAGCUGAGUCGCCUGAGGAACAGGGAGCUGCUGGACGACUGGACCACGGUGGAGGAGCUGCUGGCUCACGGCACCCGGCUGCACAACCAGGACGGCGUGCCGCGCAGCAGCUCGCUGCUCACGGUCACCACCGUGUGACCGCAACUGUAACCGCGCGCGUCGGGAGCUGAAAAUAGAGCCGCCGUCCUCAUGUGAUGUGGAUUUAAAAGCACACUGGAGCGGAGACACUUGCUGCUGGUUUUACUCCAUCUGCCCCCCCCCCAGACACCCCCCCCUCCUCCGCCUCCAUCCGUCUGUGCGAGGGUAAUUUUCACGACAGCGAGCUUUUUGGGGGGUAAUUUGACGAUGUACAUGUGAUUGUAAUAAAGAGAUUUUAAUUAGCUAUGA
This is a long non-coding RNA of Pseudoliparis swirei, 410 nucleotides long. RefSeq lists it as uncharacterized. The transcript is spliced from 2 exons. The record is from RefSeq and is a predicted model, not a curated record. NCBI's taxonomy places the organism in Eukaryota, Metazoa, Chordata, Actinopteri, Perciformes, Liparidae.